This 256-nucleotide ribosomal RNA is filed under the name uncultured bacterium. RNAcentral's name for it is "partial 16S ribosomal RNA". It matches the Rfam family "Bacterial small subunit ribosomal RNA", at positions 521 to 776 of the family's 1533-position model. The record is from RNAcentral.
UAAUACGUAGGGGGCGAGCGUUGUCCGAAUUCACUGGGCGUAAAGCGCGCGUAGGCGGGUUAUUAAGUUGGUGGUGAAAUCCCGAGGCUCAACCUCGGAACUGCCGUCAAAACUGAUAGCCUUGAGGUUUGGAGAGGGAACUGGAAUUCCAGGUGUAGCGGUGAAAUGCGUAGAUAUCUGGAGGAACACCCAUGGCGAAGGCAGGUUCCUGGCCAUAUCCUGACGCUGAGGUGCGAAAGCUAGGGUAGCGAACGGG